RNAcentral lists this ribosomal RNA (319 nucleotides) under uncultured Sandonidae. Its description in RNAcentral is "bacterial SSU rRNA". It matches the Rfam family "Eukaryotic small subunit ribosomal RNA", at positions 637 to 955 of the family's 1831-position model. Lineage: Eukaryota; Cercozoa; Glissomonadida; Viridiraptoridae. The record is from RNAcentral.
GAUUUCUGGUUUGACUCGCCUGUCCCGCCACGGUAACGUGCGUGAGUGAUGGAGUGAAUCGGCCAUCCUUCUAGAUGGCCGUCAUGGUGCAAACUAUGGCGGUUGGUCUAGAUCGUUUACUUUGAAAAAAUUAGAGUGUUUCAAGCAGGCAUAUUGCUGUGAAUACAUUAGCAUGGAAUAAUAAUUUAGGACUUCGGUUCUAUUUUGUUGGUUUCUAGGACUGAAGUAAUGAUUGAUAGGGACAGUUGGGGGUGCUAGUAUUCAGUAAGAAAGGGUGAAAUCUUUGGAUUUACUGAAGACUAACUUAUGCGAAAGCAUU